UUCCGGUUCAUCCUGCCGGACCUGACUGCUAUCGGAUGAUACUAAGCCAUGCGAGUCUUUGUAGUAAUACAAGGCAGACGGCUCAGUAACACGUAGUCAACCUACCCUAUGGACGAGAAUAAUCUCGGGAAACUGAGCAUAAUUCUCGAUAGAUCAUAAUGCCUGGAAUGGUUUAUGGUUAAAAUGAUUCGUCGCCAUAGGAUGGGACUGCGGCCUAUCAGCUUGUUGGUGAGGUAAUGGCCCACCAAGGCGAUUACAGGUACGGGCUCUGAGAGGAGAAGCCCGGAGAUGGGUACUGAGACACGGACCCAGGCCCUAUGGGGCGCAGCAGGCGAGAAAACUUUGCAAUGUGCGAAAGCACGACAAGGUUAAUCCGAGUGAUUUCUGCUAAAGAAAUCUUUUGUCAGUCAUAAAACCACUGACGAAUAAGGGGUGGGCAAGUUCUGGUGUCAGCCGCCGCGGUAAAACCAGCACCUCAAGUGGUCAGGAUGAUUAUUGGGCCUAAAGCAUCCGUAGCCGGCUUUGUUAGUUUUCGGUUAAAUCCAUGUGCUCAACACAUGGGCUGCCGAAAAUACUGCAUGGCUAGGGAGUGGGAGAGGUAGACGGUACUCAGUAGGAAGGGGUAAAAUGCUUUGAUCUCUCGAUGACCACCUGUGGCGAAGGCGGUCUACCAGAACACGUCCGACGGUGAGGGAUGAAAGCUGGGGGAGCAAACCGGAUUAGAUACCCGGGUAGUCCCAGCCGUAAACUAUGCAAACUCAGUGAUGCAUUGGCUUUUGGCCAAUGCAGUGUUGCAGGGAAGCCGUUAAGUUUGCCGCCUGGGAAGUACGUACGCAAGUAUGAAACUU
This 848-nucleotide ribosomal RNA is filed under the name uncultured marine group I thaumarchaeote. RNAcentral's name for it is "SSU rRNA". It matches the Rfam family "Archaeal small subunit ribosomal RNA", at positions 1 to 857 of the family's 1478-position model. Lineage: Archaea; Thermoproteati; Nitrososphaerota. The record is from RNAcentral.